RNA transcript from Cebus imitator (Panamanian white-faced capuchin), 6967 nucleotides. It is a transcript of the gene named kinesin family member 7, with no coding region annotated. NCBI's taxonomy places the organism in Eukaryota, Metazoa, Chordata, Mammalia, Primates, Cebidae. The transcript is spliced from 20 exons. The record is from RefSeq and is a predicted model, not a curated record.
GGUCCCAUGACGGCAUCGGAGCGCGCGGCGCUGGGGCUGGAGACGGCCUGCGCGGCCCGGGAGCAACUCGCUCGCGGUUAGGCAGGCCCAGAGCCGUCCUCCCUCAACAUGGGGCUGGAAGCCCAGAGGCUGCCAGCGACUGAAGAGGCCCCGGUGCGGGUUGCCCUGCGAGUUCGACCCCUGCUUCCCAAGGAGCUGCUGUACGGGCAUCAGAGCUGCCUGCAGGUGGAGCCGAGGCUCGGCCGUGUCACCCUGGGCCGGGACCGACACUUCGGCUUCCACGUGGUGCUGGCCGAGGAUGCCGGGCAGGAGGCCGUGUACCAAGCCUGUGUCCAGCCCCUCCUUGAGGCCUUCUUUGAGGGCUUCAAUGCCACCGUCUUUGCCUAUGGUCAGACGGGCUCUGGGAAGACAUACACCAUGGGGGAAGCCAGUGUGGCCUCCCUGCUCGAGGAUGAGCAGGGCAUUGUCCCGAGGGCCAUGGCCGAGGCCUUCAAGCUCAUCGAUGAGAACGACCUGCUUGACUGUCUAGUGCAUGUGUCCUACCUGGAAGUGUACAAGGAGGAGUUCCGAGACCUGCUUGAGGUGGGCACCGCCAGCCGUGACAUCCAGCUCCGGGAAGAUGAGCGUGGGAAUGUUGUGCUGUGUGGGGUGAAGGAGGUUGACGUGGAGGGCCUGGACGAGGUGCUGAGCCUCCUGGAGAUGGGCAACGCGGCGCGGCAUACGGGGGCGACACACCUCAACCGGCUGUCCAGCCGCUCGCACACUGUCUUCACCGUCACUCUGGAGCAGCGAGGGCGCACCCCCAGUCGCCUGCCCCACCCCGCCGCCGGCCAGCUGCUUGUCUCCAAGUUCCAUUUUGUGGACCUGGCGGGCUCGGAGAGGGUGCUCAAGACUGGCAGCACCGGCGAGCGCCUCAAGGAGAGCAUCCAGAUCAACAGCAGCCUCCUGGCGCUGGGCAAUGUCAUCAGCGCCCUGGGGGACCCCCAGCGCCGGGGUAGCCACAUCCCCUACCGCGACUCCAAGAUCACCCGGAUCCUCAAGGACUCCCUGGGCGGGAACGCCAAGACGGUGAUGAUCGCCUGCGUCAGCCCUUCCUCCUCCGACUUCGACGAGACCCUCAACACCCUCAACUACGCCAGCCGCGCGCAGAACAUCCGCAACCGCGCCACCGUCAACUGGCGGCCCGAGGCCGAGCGGCCGUCCGAGGACGCGGCGAGUGGUGCGCGGGGGCCGCCGCGGCAUCGCUCCGAGACCCGCAUCAUCCACCGCGGCCGGCGCGCCCCGGGCCCCGCCGCCUCCGCCUCCGCCUCCGCCUCCUCCUCCUCCGCCGCGGCCGCCCUGCGCCUGGGCGCCGAGUGCGCGCGCUACCGGGCCUGCACCGACGCCGCCUACAGCCUCCUGCGCGAGCUGCACGCCCAGCCCGGGCUGCCAGGUGCUGCGGCCCGCAAGGUGCGCGACUGGCUGUGCGCGGUGGAGGGCGAGCGCAGCAACGUGAGCUCCGCCUCCGGGCCCGACAGCGGCAUCGACAGCGCCUCCGUCGAGGACCAGGCGGCGCAGAGGGCCGGCGGGCGAAAGGAGGAUGAGGGGGUGCCGCAGCUGCUGACCCUGCAGAACCAGGUGGCGCGGCUGGAAGAGGAGAACCGAGACUUUCUGGCUGCACUGGAGGACGCCAUGGAGCAGUACAAGCUGCAGAGCGACCGGCUGCGUGAGCAGCAGGAGGAGAUGGUGGAGCUGCGGCUGCGGUUAGAGCUGGUGCGGCCUGGCUGGGGGGCCCCUGGGCUGCUGCCGGGCCUGCCUUCCGGGUCCUUUCUGCCUCGGCCUCAUACAGCUCCCCUGGGGGGCGCCCACAGCCAUGUGCUGGGCAUGGUGCCCCCUGACUGCCUCUGUGGAGAUGAAGUUGGCUCUGAGCACAGGAGAGAGCAGGUGACAGAUGGCAGGGAGGCUGGAGCUGAGCUGCUGGCUGAUGUGAACAGGCUGGGAAGUGGCUCUUCAGCUGCAUCAGAGGAGGAGAAGGAGGAUUCGCCCAGGCGGACCUUACACCUGCGCAGAAAUGGGAUCAGUAACUGCAUCCAGAGGGCGGGGGCCCAGCCAGGGAGUCCAUCAGACAGGAGGGCCCCAGAGCUCUGCCUUGAAGAGUUGGAGGCAGCCAUCCCAGGGUCCAGAGCAGUUGGGAGCAAGGCCCGGGUUCAGGCCUGCCAGGUCCCCUCUGCCAUGGCCUCGGAGUGGCGGCUGGCCCAGGCCCAGCAGAAGAUCCGGGAGCUGGCUAUCAACAUCCGCAUGAAGGAGGAGCUCAUUGGCGAGCUGGUCUGCACAGGAAAGGCAGCUCAGGCCCUGAACCGCCAGCACAGCCAGCGUAUCCGGGAGCUGGAGCAGGAGGCAGAGCAGGUGCGGGCUGAGCUGAGUGAAGGCCAGAGGCAGCUGCGGGAGCUGGAGGGCAAGGAGCCCCAGGAUGCCGGCGAGCGGUCUCGGCUCCAGGAGUUCCGCAGGAGGGUCGCUGCGGCCCAGAGCCAGGUGCAGGUGCUGAAGGAAAAGAAGCAGGCCACGGAGCGGCUGGUGUCACUGUCGGCCCAGAGUGAGAAGCGACUGCAAGAGCUGGAGCGGAAUGUGCAGCUCAUGCGGCAGCAGCAGGGGCAGCUGCAGAGGCGGCUUCGUGAGGAGACAGAGCAGAAGCGGCGCCUGGAGGCGGAGAUGAGCAAGCGGCAGCACCGCGUCAAGGAGCUGGAGCUGAAGCAUGAGCAGCAGCAGAAGAUCCUGAAGAUUAAGACGGAGGAGAUUGCAGCCUUCCAGAGGAAGAGGCGCAGUGGCAGCAACGGCUCUGUGGUCAGCCUGGAGCAGCAGCAGAAGAUCGAGGAGCAGAAGAAGUGGCUGGACCAGGAGAUGGAGAAGGUGCUGCAGCAGCGGCGGGCGCUGGAGGAGCUAGGGGAGGAGCUCCGCAAGCGGGAAGCCAUCCUGGCCAAGAAGGAGGCCCUAAUGCAAGAGAAGACAGGGCUGGAGAGCAAGCGCCUGCGGUCCAGCCAGGCCCUCAACGAGGACAUCGUGCGUGUGUCCAGCCGGCUGGAGCACCUGGAGAAGGAGCUGUCAGAGAAGAGUGGGCAGCUGCGGCAGGGCAGCGCCCAGAGCCAGCAGCAGAUCCGAGGGGAGAUUGACAGCCUGCGCCAGGAGAAGGACUCGCUGCUCAAGCAGCGCCUGGAGAUCGACAGCAAGCUGCGGCAGGGGAGCCUGCUGUCCCCCGAGGAGGAGCGGACGCUGUUCCAGUUGGAUGAGGCCAUUGAGGCCCUGGAUGCUGCCAUUGAGUACAAGAAUGAGGCCAUCACAUGCCGCCAGCGAGUGCUUCGGGCCUCAGCCUCUUUGCUGUCCCAGUGCGAGAUGAACCUCAUGGCCAAGCUCAGCUACCUCUCGUCCUCUGAGACCAGAGCCCUCCUCUGCAAGUAUUUUGACAAGGUGGUGACGCUCCGAGAGGAGCAGCACCAGCAGCAGAUUGCCUUCUCUGAGCUGGAGAUGCAGCUGGAGGAGCAGCAGAGGCUGGUGUACUGGCUGGAGGUGGCCCUGGAGCGGCAACACCUGGAGAUGGACCGCCAGCUGACGCUGCAGCAGAAGGAGCACGAGCAGAACUUGCAGCUGCUCCUGCAGCAGAGUCGAGACCACCUUGGUGAAGGGUUAGCAGACAGCAAGAGGCAGUAUGAGGCCCGGAUUCAAGCUCUGGAGAAGGAACUAGGCCGCUACAUGUGGAUAAACCAGGAACUGAAACAGAAGCUCGGUGGUGUGAACACUGCAGGCCACAGCAGAGGGGACUCUUCAACAACACCAAUAUCAGGACCAGGAUCAGAGGACCUUGAGGAACACAUGCACAAGGAUUAUUCCAUGUCACCUGUAACUCACACUCAUUAAAGAGAAAAGCAGCUUCUUAUUUCACAAGAUCACAGGGUCUGAUAACACCAGUGCUGCUAUUCUAAAAUGUAGUACCUUUGGUCUUCUUGAAGUUAUCAAGUUUAUCCUCUAGACCUUCCACAGCUGACACAGAAUGGCUUCUAGGAAACCCCCGCUUCAGUGAUCUCUUUGAAGGGGAAAGCAUUUCCUGGUUGAAAAGAUUUCUUCGAACUUUGGUCACUUCUGAAAGCAUCAAAAAAUAAAAAAGAAAAAGCCAAAGAUUAUCAUCAAUAAACACCGUAUCUGAUAAAAGAUAAGCUGCUUAAGGAAACUAUUGCUAUAGUCACAUUUGCUAAUAAGGUUUCCUUAAACAGUAUACUCCCGCAAUGCAUUAAAAAAAUACUUAUUUUUAUGAAUUUAAAAAAUUUUUAAUAUAUUAUUUUGCAUGAGGUAGGAGGAGUCCAAUGUCAUUCUUUUGCAUGUGGAUAACCAGUUUUCUCAGCAUCAUUUGUGCAAAAGACUUUUCAUUCUCUAUCAAAUUGUCUUGGUACCCUGAGUAUCAGUUGACCAUAAUAAAUGCUAGUGCUAAUUUCUUUUUUAAAGGCUAGAUAGAAUCCAGCAGUGAAACCUUCUAGUCCUGGGCAUUUCUUUGUGAGUAGUUUUUGAUAACUAAUUGAAACUUUUUACUUGUUAUAGAUCUAUUCUGAUUUUCUAUUUCUUCUCGAGUCUGUUUUUAGUAGUUUGUAUCUUUCUACGAGUUUGUCCAUUCCAUCUAGGUUAUCUAAUUUGUUGGUAUACCAUUGUUUGUAGCAUUCUAUUACAAAUUCAAUUUAAAUCUAACUUUUCAGGAACAUGAGGAAGGCCCACACUACUUAUUAAGUUAGAAGCUUGAUUCAUUGUAAAAUGAACAUAAUUCAUAAAUAAGAGGAUGGCUAACAUAGGUCAUGGUCCUUUUAAUAUAUCCCAUGUUAUGAUUAUUUUUCUCAUUUUGGAUCUUUUUCCUGCUGUGUAUUCAGCUCAGCAUUGAAUGGAGAAACUGUUCUUUUCAAUUCUACAGAUUUCAUUUUUCUUCUGACUACUUUACUAAGCUGCUGGGCCAUUUUAAAUUUUCUUCUUCACUCCAAAGCAUGAAAGUUCUGAUCAUCUAGGCUCAAAAUUAGAAAAAAUAGCUGAAAAGUCAAGAAAUACUUGGCAAAGCUAGCAAGACUACCUUAAUCUUAAGCAGGAUAGCCUGGUGGAAGUGAUUCAAAAAUUCACUAAGGGUGAAUUCUUCAAAGAUUAAUCAUUUAAAGCCAAACCAAAUAAUCUAGGAUCCACAAACUGGGAGCAACCGUUGUGUUUACCCAUCAAUGACAUAAACAUUAAUAUCAAGGACAUCAAUAACACAUACCAAAGUUUUAAAAAUUGUUUCCCUAUCUCCAUUAUAGGAGUUUCUAUUACCUAACUUAGGCUGUUGGUGAAACUCAUUUAUGACCUGAAAGCCAAACUUGGUUUGUUAUUUUCUGUUUUUCCCAAUGUUUUGAAAAGUUUAAUGUCUAUGGAAAGUUUCAAAUAAUAAAAUCAAACAUAUGCCCAUUACUAAAGUUCACCGACUGUCAAUAUUUGUUUUUUCCUUCCUUCUCUAUGUACAAUAUUCCGCCUCAACACUGGAGAGUAAAUUGCAAACACUGCAGCUGUUCACUUCCUAAAGGUCAGCAAGUAUCUCCUAUGAACAAGGACAUUCUCCUCCAUAACCCCCAUGCCAUUAUUACACUCAAAAUAUUUUUAACAUUCAUACAAUAUGAUCUAGCAUACACCGCUUCUUCAGAUUUCUCUAAUCAUCUCAAUAAUAUCCUUUCUAGUAUUUUUUUCCCCUAAAUUUAAGAUCCAAGCAGGGAACAUGGAACGCAUUUAGCUGUCAUGCUUAAACUCCAUUCAUCUAAAACAGUUCCACUGCCUCUUUUCUUUUUCCUUUCUUCUGGCUUUCAUGAUAGUGGUUUUUUUUUUUUUUUUAAAGAUUUCAGACCAGUCAUUUUGUAAAAUGCAGUAUUUUGAGACUAUUCCUAGGGGAAUGUGUCCAUGGUAUUUGGACAUAUUUUAUUAGCCAAGGGUCAUACGAAGCCGUAAUUUGUAACUGUAAGCAGCUGCUUAAAUACAUACAAUAAAAAUAAAUUUGUCAUUCUAGUGAAUAAAUAUAUACACUCAGAAAACAGUAUACCUUGUACUGUAUCUUUCACUGGCUGGGAAGGCUGUUGAGGAGCAGGGUGAGAGUUCUCCUGAAAGAUAAGAAAACCCAAAAAGAAAAUGUAAGUAGGCAUUCAUUGAAAUAAAAAUUUCACAUGAACCCUUUGACUCUUGCAGUUCAUUUAUAGGAAUCCAUAAUAAAAAUAAUAAAAUGCACAACAGAAAUGUUCCAAAGACAUUCACUGCUGCACUACAGUAAUACAAAAUAAAAAACACUAUAAAUGCCCAUAAAGGGUGAAACAGUUAAAUAAAUUACAUCCCCAUCCAAUACAGACAUUCCAAGAAUAACGAAGGAUGACCUCCUAUUCUCUGUAUAUUUUCCAUUUUCCUCUCUGUAUAUGGUUGAGCAUCCCUAAUCUGAAAAUACAGAAUGCUCCAAAAUCUGAAACUUUAUGAGUGCCAACACAACACUCAAAGGAAACACUCAUUGGAGCACUUUGGAUUUCUGGAUGUGGGAUGCUAUAAGUACAUGUAAUGCAAAUGUUCCAAAAUCCAAAAAUAUCUAAAAUUCGAAACACUUCUGCUCCUAAGAAUUUUGGGUAAGAGAUACUCAACCUGUACUAACAUAGAGAUCUGUGAUGGGAGGAAAAUGGAAAAUCUUAAGCAUUCUAAGUCAUAUCAUUUAUAUGUAUGUAUAUAACAGAUCUGCAAAAAUCUUUGGUGUUAUUGGUAAAUAUAGAAAAGGGCCUUGAAAUAUACACAACAAACCAUCCUCAGUGAUUACUUCUGAGGAAUGGAUAGAGAAGGGACACCCUAACUAUAAUUGUAAAAAUAUGUCAUACAUCCAAUUUCCUAUCCAGGGGUCAGCAAACUACAGUGUACAGACCAAAUCUGGACCACCUCUUGUUCUUGAAAAUGGAAGUUUUACUAAAACACA